UUCUGAGUUCCUCAGUCAGUG
This 21-nucleotide microRNA is filed under the name Octopus vulgaris (common octopus). RNAcentral's name for it is "Ovu-Mir-12568-v2_5p (mature (guide))". Lineage: Eukaryota; Metazoa; Mollusca; Cephalopoda; Octopoda; Octopodidae. RNAcentral also lists the same sequence under 1 other name. The record is from RNAcentral.